RNAcentral lists this transfer RNA (87 nucleotides) under Pseudomonadota bacterium. Its description in RNAcentral is "Proteobacteria bacterium (marine metagenome) tRNA-Ser". It matches the Rfam family "tRNA". From Rfam's summary of the family: Transfer RNA (tRNA) molecules are approximately 80 nucleotides in length. Lineage: Bacteria; Pseudomonadati; Pseudomonadota. The record is from RNAcentral.
GGAAGGGUGGCUGAGUGGACGAAAGCGCUGGUCUUGAAAACCAGUGAACUCUUACGGGUUCCGUGGGUUCGAAUCCCACCCCUUCCG